ACAGGGGUAUGGUAGUAGGUGCCUUUGAACAGGGGUCUGGUAGUAGGUGUCUUUGAACAGGGUCUGGUAGUAGGUGCCUUUGAACAGGGUCUGGUAGUAGGUGUCUUUGAACAGGGUAUAGUCGUAGGUGCCUUUGAACAGGGUAUGGUAGUAGGUGCCUUUGAACAGGGGUCUGGUAGUAGGUGCCUUUGAACAGGGUAUGGUAGUAGGUGCCUUUGAACAGGGUAUGGUAGUAGGUGUCUUUGAACAGGGUAUAGUCGUAGGUGCCUUUGAACAGGGUAUGGUAGUAGGUGCCUUUGAACGGGGUAUAGUCGUAGGUGCCAGGCGCAGCAGUUUGUGUCAACAACUGCAACGCGGUUUGGUUUUUCACGCUCAACAGUAUCCCGCGUCCACCUUAUUUACAGAAGUAUUCAGACCAUUUUCUGUGGGAAUCGAAAUUGAGCUCAGAUGCAUCCUGUUUCCGUUGAUCAUCCUUGAGAUGUUUCUACAACUGGAUUGGAGUCCACCUGUGGUAAAUUCAAUUGAUUGGACAUGAUUUGGAAAGGUCCCACAGUUGACAGGGCAUGUCAGAGCAAAAACCAAGCUAUGAGGUCGAAGGAAAUGUCCUCGGAGUCCUGAAACAGGAUUGUGUCAAGGCACAGAUCUGGGGAAGGGCACCCAAAACAUGUCCGCAGCAUUGAAGGUCCCCAAGAACACAGUGGCCUCCAUCAUUCUUAAAUGGAAGAAGUUUGGAACCACCAACACUCUUCCUAGAGCUGGCCGCCCGGCCAAACUGAGCAACCGGGGAAUAAGAGCCUUGGUCAGAGAGGUGACCAAGAACCCGAUGGUUACUCUGACAGAUCUCCUCUGUGGAGAUGGGAGAACCUUCCAGAAGCACAACCAUCUCUGAAGCACUCCACCAAUCAGGCCUUUAUUGUAAAAGUGGCCAGAGGGAAGCCACUCCUCAGUAAAAGGCACAUGACAGCCUGCUUGGAGUUUGCCAAAUGGCACCUAAAGGAUUCUCAGACCAUGAGAAACAAAAUUCUCUGGUCUCAUGAAACCAAGAUUGAACUCUUUGGCCUGAAUGCCAAGCGUCACGUCUGGAGGAAACCUGGCACCAUCCCUACGGUGAAGCAUGGUGGUGGCAGCAUCAUGCUGCAGGGAUGUUUUUCAGCAUUUGGACCGGGAGACUAGUCAGGAUUGAGAUGAACGGAGCAAAGUACAGAGAGAUCCUUGAUGAAAACCUGCUCCAGAGUGCUCAGAACCUCAGACUGGGUCGAAGGUUCACCUUCCAACAGCACAACGACCCCAAGCACACAGCCAAGACAAUGCAUGAGUGGCUUCGGGACAAGUCUCUGAAUGUCCUUGAGUGGCCCAUCUUGAACCUGAUCGAACAUUUCUGGUAGAGAUCUGAAAAUCGCUAUGCAGCAAUGCUCCCCAUCCAACCUGACAGAGCUUGAGAGGAACUGCAGAGAAGAAUGGGAGAAACUCUCCAAAUACAGGUGUGCCAAGCUUGUAGCGUCAUACCCAAGAAGACUUGAGGCUGUGAUCACUACCAAAGGUGCAUCAACAAAGUACUGAGUAAAGGGUCUGAAUACUGAUGUAAAUGUAAUAUUUCAGUUUUUUGUUUUUAAUAAAUGUUAUCCAUUUCAAUUACAUUUCUAAAAACCUGUUUUUGCUUUGUCAUUAUGGUGUAUUGUGUGUAGACUGAUGAGAGAAAAUUAACAAUUGAAUCCAUUUUAGAACAGGGUUGUAACAUAACAAAAUGUGUAAAAAAAAAUCAAGGGGUCUGAAUACUUUCCGAAUGCACUGUAAUCCUGCACAGUACAGUACAGCACCAGCGCCUGAGUAGGUCAAACAUCAUCACAAGGUGACGUCACAGAAAAGUAAAUAUAAGUGAAUGCACUGUAUAUAAGGCCACUCUGCAGAAUGGGGGGAAGAACGAAAAAAAAAUGAUUUCUAAAAAAACAAAUAAAGGUAGACUAAAUGCUAAUAAGUCAUAUUUCCUCUUUCUGUUCCCCUAAUAAGUCAUAUUUCCUCUUUCCGUUCCCCUAAUAAGUCAUAUUUCCUCUUUCUGUUCCCCUAAUAAGUCAUAUUUCCUCUUUCCGUUCCCCUAAUAAGUCAUAUUUCCUCUUUCCGUUCCCCUAAUAAGUCAUAUUUCCUCUCUCCGUUCCCCUAAUAAGUCAUAUUUCCUCUUGCCGUUCCCAUAAUAAGUCAUAUUUCCUCUUGCCGUUCCCCUAAUAAGUCAUAUUUCCUCUUUCUGUUCCCCUAAUAAGUCAUAUUUCCUCUUUCCGUUCCCCUAAUAAGUCAUAUUUCCUCUUUCUGUUCCCCUAAUAAGUCAUAUUUCCUCUUUCCGUUCCCCUAGUAAGUCAUAUUUCCUCUUUCCGUUCCCCUAAUAGGUCAUAUUGCCUCUUUCCGUUCCCCUAAUAAGUCAUAUUUCCUCUUUCCGUUCCCCUAAUAAGUCAUAUUUCCUCUUGCCGUUCCCCUAAUAAGUCAUAUUUCCUCUUUCCGUUCCCCUCAUAAGUCAUAAAUUCCUCUUGUCGUUCCCCUAAUAAGUCAUAAAUUCCUCUUGUCGUUCCCAUAAUAAGUCAUAUUUCCUUUUGUCGUUCCCAUAAUAAGUCAUAUUUCCUCUUGUCGUUCCCCUAAUAAGUCAUAUUUCCUCUUGUCGUUCCCCCAAUAAGUCAUAUUUCCUCUUGUCGUUCCCCCAAUAAGUCAUAUUUCCUCUUUCCGUUCCCUUAAUAAGUCAUAUUUCCUCUUUCCGUUCCCCUAAUAAGUCAUAUUUCCUCUUUCCGUUCCCCUAAUAAGUCAUAUUUCCUCUUUCCGUUCCCCUAAUAAGUCAUAUUUCCUCUUUCCGUUCCCCUAAUAAGUCAUAUUUCCUCUUUCCGUUCCCCUAAUAAGUCAUAUUUCCUCUCUCCGUUCCCCUAAAAAGUCAUAUUUCCUCUUGCCGUUCCCCUAAUAAGUCAUAUUUCCUCUCUCCGUUCCCCUAAUAAGUCAUAUUUCCUCUUUCCAUUCCCCUAAUAGGUCAUAUUUCCUCAUUCCGUUCCCCUAAUAGGUCAUAUUUCCUCUUUCCGUUCCCCUAAUAGGUCAUAUUUCCUCUUUCCGUUCCCCUAAUAAGUCAUAAAUUCCUCUUGUCGUUCCCCUAAUAAGUCAUAUUUCCUCUUUCCGUUCCCCUAAUAAGUCAUAUUUCCUCUUUCCGUUCCCCUAAUAGGUCAUAUUUCCGUUCCCCUAAUAGGUCAUAUUUCCUCUUUCCGUUCCCCUAAUAAGUCAUAUUUCCUCUUUCCGUUCCCCUAAUAGGUCAUAUUUCCUCUUUCCGUUCCCCUAAUAGGUCAUAUUUCCGUUCCCCUAAUAGGUCAUAUUUCCUCUUUCCGUUCCCCUAAUAAGUCAUAAAUUCCUCUUGUCGUUCCCCUAAUAAGUCAUAUUUCCUCUUUCCGUUCCCCUAAUAAGUCAUAUUUCCUCUUUCCGUUCCCCUAAUAGGUCAUAUUUCCGUUCCCCUAAUAGGUCAUAUUUCCUCUUUCCGUUCCCCUAAUAAGUCAUAUUUCCUCUUUCCGUUCCCCUAAUAGGUCAUAUUUCCUCUUUCCGUUCCCCUAAUAGGUCAUAUUUCCGUUCCCCUAAUAGGUCAUCUUUCCGUUCCCCUAAUAGGUCAUAUUUCCGUUCCCCUAAUUGGUCAUAUUUCCUCUUUCCGUUCCCCUAAUAAGUAAUAAAUUCCUCUUGUCGUUCCCCUAAUAAGUCAUAUUUCCUCUUGCCGUUCCCAUAAUAAGUCAUAUUUCCUCUUGCCGUUCCCCUAAGAAGUCAUAUUUCCUCUUUCCGUUCCCCUAAUAAGUCAUAUUUCCUCUUUCCGUUCCCCUAGUAAGUCAUAUUUCCUCUUUCCGUUCCCCUAAUAGGUCAUAUUGCCUCUUUCCGUUCCCCUAAUAAGUCAUAUUUCCUCUUUCCGUUCCCCUAAUAAGUCAUAUUUCCUCUUGCCGUUCCCCUAAUAAGUCAUAUUACCUCUUUCCAUUCCCCUAAUAGGUCAUAUUUCCUCAUUCCGUUCCCCUAAUAGGUCAUAUUUCCUCUUUCCGUUCCCCUAAUAGGUCAUAUUUCCUCUUUCCGUUCCCCUAAUAAGUCAUAAAUUCCUCUUGUCGUUCCCCUAAUAAGUCAUAUUUCCUCUUUCCGUUCCCCUAAUAAGUCAUAUUUCCUCUUUCCGUUCCCCUAAUAGGUCAUAUUUCCGUUCCCCUAAUAGGUCAUAUUUCCUCUUUCCGUUCCCCUAAUAAGUCAUAUUUCCUCUUUCCGUUCCCCUAAUAGGUCAUAUUUCCUCUUUCCGUUCCCCUAAUAGGUCAUAUUUCCGUUCCCCUAAUAGGUCAUAUUUCCUCUUUCCGUUCCCCUAAUAAUCAUAUUUCCUCUUUCCGUUCCCCUAAUAGGUCAUAUUUCCUCUUUCCGUUCCCCUAAUAGGUCAUAUUUCCGUUCCCCUAAUUGGUCAUAUUUCCUCUUUCCGUUCCCCUAAUAAGUAAUAAAUUCCUCUUGUCGUUCCCCUAAUAAGUCAUAUUUCCUCUUUCCGUUCCCCUAAUAGGUCAUAUUUCCUCUUGUCGUUCCCCUAAUAGGUCAUAUUUCCUCUUUCUGUUCCCCUAAUAGGUCAUAUUUCCUCUUUCCGUUCCCCUAAUAAGUCAUAUUUCCGUUCCCCUAAUAGGUCAUAUUUCCUCUUUCUGUUCCCCUAAUAGGUCAUAUUUCCGUUCCCCUAAUAGGUCAUAUUUCCGUUCCCCUAAUAGGUCAUAUUUCCUCUUUCCGUUCCCCUAAUAAGUCAUAUUUCCGUUCCCCUAAUAGGUCAUAUUUCCUCUUUCCGUUCCCCUAAUAGGUCAUAUUUCCGUUCCCCUAAUAGGUCAUAUUUCCGUUCCCCUAAUAGGUCAUAUUUCCUCUUUCCGUUCCCCUAAUAAGUCAUAUUUCCUCUUUCCGUUCCCCUAAUAAGUCAUAUUUCCUCUUUCCGUUCCCCUAAUAGGUCAUAUUUCCUCUUUCCGUUCCCCUAAUAGGUCAUAUUUCCUCUUUCCGUUCCCCUAAUAGGUCAUAUUUCCUCUUUCCGUUCCCCUAAUAAGUCAUAUUUCCUCUUUCCGUUCCCCUAAUAGGUCAUAUUUCCUCUUGCCGUUCCCCUAAUAGGUCAUAUUUCCGUUCCCCUAAUAGGUCAUAUUUCCGUUCCCCUAAUAGGUCAUAUUUCCUCUUUCCGUUCCCCUAAUAAGUCAUAAAUUCCUCUUGUCGUUCCCCUAAUAGGUCAUAUUUCCUCUUUCUGUUCCCCUAAUAGGUCAUAUUUCCUCUUUCAAUUCCCCUAAUAAGUCAUAUUUCCGUUCCCCUAAUAGGUCAUAUUUCCUCUUUCUGUUCCCCUAAUAGGUCAUAUUUCCGUUCCCCUAAUAGGUCAUAUUUCCGUUCCCCUAAUAGGUCAUAUUUCCUCUUUCCGUUCCCCUAAUAAGUCAUAUUUCCGUUCCCCUAAUAGGUCAUAUUUCCUCUUUCCGUUCCCCUAAUAGGUCAUAUUUCCGUUCCCCUAAUAGGUCAUAUUUCCGUUCCCCUAAUAGGUCAUAUUUCCGUUCCCCAAUUUGUUCUUCCACUGUGUAUUCAAACACAUCAAAGUAUCAUCAGAACCCAGACGAGAUCGUAUCAACUUUAUCGUCAAUUUUAGUACAAC
This is a long non-coding RNA of Oncorhynchus keta (chum salmon), 5620 nucleotides long. RefSeq lists it as uncharacterized. The record is from RefSeq and is a predicted model, not a curated record. The transcript has 5 exons. Lineage: Eukaryota; Metazoa; Chordata; Actinopteri; Salmoniformes; Salmonidae.